This 529-nucleotide ribosomal RNA is filed under the name Candida africana. RNAcentral describes it as "eukaryotic LSU rRNA". It matches the Rfam family "Eukaryotic large subunit ribosomal RNA", at positions 66 to 572 of the family's 3401-position model. The record is from RNAcentral. Lineage: Eukaryota; Fungi; Ascomycota; Pichiomycetes; Serinales; Debaryomycetaceae.
CAACAGGGAUUGCCUCAGUAGCGGCGAGUGAAGCGGCAAAAGCUCAAAUUUGAAAUCUGGCGUCUUUGGCGUCCGAGUUGUAAUUUGAAGAAGGUAUCUUUGGGCCCGGCUCUUGUCUAUGUUCCUUGGAACAGGACGUCACAGAGGGUGAGAAUCCCGUGCGAUGAGAUGACCCGGGUCUGUGUAAAGUUCCUUCGACGAGUCGAGUUGUUUGGGAAUGCAGCUCUAAGUGGGUGGUAAAUUCCAUCUAAAGCUAAAUAUUGGCGAGAGACCGAUAGCGAACAAGUACAGUGAUGGAAAGAUGAAAAGAACUUUGAAAAGAGAGUGAAAAAGUACGUGAAAUUGUUGAAAGGGAAGGGCUUGAGAUCAGACUUGGUAUUUUGCAUGUUGCUCUCUCGGGGGCGGCCGCUGCGGUUUACCGGGCCAGCAUCGGUUUGGAGCGGCAGGAUAAUGGCGGAGGAAUGUGGCACGGCUUCUGCUGUGUGUUAUAGCCUCUGACGAUACUGCCAGCCUAGACCGAGGACUGCGG